UCCCUAGUGGUCCAGUGGUUAGGGCUUCUCGCUUCCACUGAAGGGGGCACAGGUUCAAUCCCUGGUUGGGGAA
RNAcentral lists this transfer RNA (73 nucleotides) under Bos taurus (domestic cattle). It matches the Rfam family "tRNA". Rfam says of the family: Transfer RNA (tRNA) molecules are approximately 80 nucleotides in length. Their secondary structure includes four short double-helical elements and three loops (D, anti-codon, and T loops). Further hydrogen bonds mediate the characteristic L-shaped molecular structure. tRNAs have two regions of fundamental functional importance: the anti-codon, which is responsible for specific mRNA codon recognition, and the 3' end, to which the tRNAs corresponding amino acid is attached (by aminoacyl-tRNA synthetases). tRNAs cope with the degeneracy of the genetic code in two manners: having more than one tRNA (with a specific anti-codon) for a particular amino acid; and 'wobble' base-pairing, i.e. permitting non-standard base-pairing at the 3rd anti-codon position. RNAcentral also lists the same sequence under 4 other names. The record is from Rfam by way of RNAcentral. Lineage: Eukaryota; Metazoa; Chordata; Mammalia; Artiodactyla; Bovidae.